This 277-nucleotide long non-coding RNA is filed under the name Capsella grandiflora. RNAcentral describes it as "long non-coding RNA (CGRA_LNC000473)". Lineage: Eukaryota; Viridiplantae; Streptophyta; Magnoliopsida; Brassicales; Brassicaceae. The record is from RNAcentral.
UGGCAAAAGACUUGGUCUUUUCUUUAUCUCUUGUCCAUUCAUUUUAAGUUAAUCACGCAGUAAAAAAAACAGAAAAUCCAUAUCUGAAAAAAUCCAUAAUCCUAUUUUUAUUUUUACUUCUUCGUUACGUUUUUGCGGAUAUUAUUCAAAAUUACGAUAUUUUCUUUUCUAGAUUACUAUCUUUUCUAAUCUUUCUCUUGUUUUGUUUCGCGUGUGAUCAUUAACUCGAGGUAAAAUCUUCUAAUCCUAGUUAAUAUCACACGCGAAAUAUCAAUGA